UGAACUUGUCGUCAGCUGUCAAACAAAAGGUUGUGGACUGUAUUUUCUUAUUGCACUUGCAUAAUAUUUUUUUAUUUACGGUUUGUAAACAGAGCGUUGUUUAUUUAUUAAGAGGCCCUUGCCCUGUGUCUGCUGUGAAUUUCAUGAAAGAUAUUCGGAUCUUUAACUGACUCAAAUGCAAUAUAUUCCGUAAUCUCGAUCAAAAUGUUGAAAAAGUACAACGUGCGCCGUUUAAAAAACGAAUCCUUCUUGGAUUCCCUCCUGAAUAUAUGUAUCAAAUACAUUAGUGCUAAUUUAUGCGCAUAUAAAAAUAGUGGGUACUUGGAAUUGUUUCCAAUCCACAUUAAAGAUCGAAUAAUAAUUUACGUUACCCGAAUUCUAAAAGGAUUUCACGAUGACGAUUUACUCGAAACACUUCUUCAUGAAAAUCUUAUAAAUAUAGAUUUAUCUGGUUCUACAAUUAGUGAUAGGACCCUAAAAUCAUUAGCAACAUAUUGCCCGAAUCUUAAGAAAAUCGUGAUGAGUCGAGCACGAUAUCUAUUCAGCGAACAAGUACUGAUCUCAACGAUACCGACAUUUACAAAUCUGAAUAAUUUCCAAUUGAACAAUUGUAAGGAAGUCACUGAUGAAUUCUUGCGGGAACUUGCUUUAAAAUGCCCAAACUUGGAUCUCCUAGACUUAAGCGGAUGCAAACAGAUUACGGAUGAAUCUGCUAGUUCCUUAGAUACUCUGAAAUUAACAAAACUCAAUGUUUCAAAUACAAGUAUAACUGAUCAAUUCCUUGCCAAACUUGGCCUAUCUCCAGUGAGCAACUAUAUCGAGGAUAUAAAUUUAAGUCAAUGCAAUAUAACCACGAACGGACUACGGAAUCUUCGUUGGGAUAAGCUAAAAUAUGUUGGAUUCGAAGGUUGUUGGAUUGACGGUAAGACUGGAAAACUAUCUGGUUAUGUGGUACCAAUAAGCAUAAGAACUAAUCUAUUCAUUGAGUAACGAUUGUUAUAGCCUUUCUAUCUAUUUCAUAUGUAUAUUUCUGUUAUUCUGGAUUUUAGAAAAAAACCCUAUUAUAUAUAUUUGUUACUAAAUCUUUAAUAUAAUUUAUUAUGGAGUUAUGGGUAUCUAGUUGUGCUUUAAAAGAUACUAACAUUAUAUACUACUACGACUAACAGUACAGGAAUCAGGUGGCAUUAUGCUUCGAUUAGUAACGUUAUCUUGUAAGGAGUUAUCAUAAAAUGAACAGAAUAUUGAAGGUUGUUGAAAUAUCGUCCAUUUAGAAAAAAGUUGAAGUUUUUUAGAGAAUUAUUGCAAUUGGGACGUAUACGAAUUUAUUUUAAAAUAUUUAUUAUUAUUAGAAAUUUACAUGAAAAUCAUAUCUUAACAGUAAACAGACGGAUAAGUUAGUGAAUGAUCUCGAAUUCCUAAACAGCAAAAAACAAUUGAAAUUUAUCCAAUGGACGAUCAGUAAAUAAAAAGACGUAUCAGUGGUUUUUCAAGUAUUUUCUUAAGAUUUACGUUUUUAUUUUAUACUUUCUCGAAAAUCAAAUCGAUAAUGUUCAUAUAAUAUUGGAAUUUUCUUAAUAUUGUUUUAUUAAAAAACGAAAUAAACAAACUUUGAAUCAUAGAUAAUAAUAAACUAAUAUUAUUUUAAA
Molecule: RNA transcript, 1646 nt
Organism: Hermetia illucens (black soldier fly)
Lineage: Eukaryota; Metazoa; Arthropoda; Insecta; Diptera; Stratiomyidae
Gene name: protein AMN1 homolog
Exons: 5
Source: RefSeq, a predicted model, not a curated record